UACGGAAGAUGCGAGCGUUAUCCGGAUUUAUUGGGUUUAAAGGGAGCGUAGGCGGGACGUCAAGUCAGCGGUAAAAGUUCGGUGCUCAACGCCGUGCCGCCGUUGAAACUGGUGUUCUUGAAUGCGGUCAAGGCAGGUGGAAUUCGUGGUGUAGCGGUGAAAUGCUUAGAUAUCACGAAGAACUCCGAUAGCGAAGGCAUCCUGCUGGUCCGUGAUUGACGCUGAGGCUCGAAAGUGCGGGUAUCGAACA
Molecule: ribosomal RNA, 250 nt
Filed under: uncultured prokaryote
Description: partial 16S ribosomal RNA
Rfam family: Bacterial small subunit ribosomal RNA
Source: RNAcentral